Long non-coding RNA from Nymphaea colorata (pocket water lily), 548 nucleotides. RefSeq lists it as uncharacterized. The transcript is spliced from 3 exons. The record is from RefSeq and is a predicted model, not a curated record. Lineage: Eukaryota; Viridiplantae; Streptophyta; Magnoliopsida; Nymphaeales; Nymphaeaceae.
AUUUUCUGAGCUGCAAAACCAUCUGUAGAUGCAUGUAACAGUGCCAUUCCAGGUGUCCAACGAGUUGACACCUUGCCAGCUUAACGAGAGAGUAAAUCCUUCCCGUGGAUUGAAAUCGAACCACGUCUUUGAUCAGUUACAAGGUCGUUUUUCUUAAAGACUAUCUUUUCCCCAGACAUGUGAGAGUUCCAUAAAGGCAGCUUAUGAUCCUUGUAUCUCUGGCAUUUUUCUUCAAAUUGAGCCCCUUUAAAGUGGAUGGGGCAAGACUGAGGAAAUAAGAAGGCACAUACAAUAGUUUGGGGAAUCAGCGAAGCUGAGUUGCAAUGAAGAGGUUCCACUCCUUUAGAUGGGAAGCCCAAGCAGCCAUGAAUCAGACUGAGAAUUACCACAGAUCAGCCUGAAGGUUCUACAUAUGCAAUCGCCAACUUGAGCGAUGUGAAUAAGCUGGGUGAAGGUGGAUAUGGCCGUGUCUACAAGGUAUUCUACGGAUAGCCUCCUUUCCCUUUGCUAGUGAAUCUGGGUAUUAGUUAAACUGAUAUUGCGUCAUA